Molecule: ribosomal RNA, 566 nt
Filed under: uncultured bacterium
Lineage: Bacteria
Description: partial 16S ribosomal RNA
Rfam family: Bacterial small subunit ribosomal RNA
Source: RNAcentral
UGGGGAAUUUUGGACAAUGGGGGAAACCCUGAUCCAGCCAUCCCGCGUGUGCGAUGAAGGCCUUCGGGUUGUAAAGCACUUUUGGCAGGAAAGAAACGUCGCGGGUUAAUACCCCGCGAAACUGACGGUACCUGCAGAAUAAGCACCGGCUAACUACGUGCCAGCAGCCGCGGUAAUACGUAGGGUGCAAGCGUUAAUCGGAAUUACUGGGCGUAAAGCGUGCGCAGGCGGUUCGGAAAGAAAGAUGUGAAAUCCCAGAGCUUAACUUUGGAACUGCAUUUUUAACUACCGGGCUAGAGUGUGUCAGAGGGAGGUGGAAUUCCGCGUGUAGCAGUGAAAUGCGUAGAUAUGCGGAGGAACACCGAUGGCGAAGGCAGCCUCCUGGGAUAACACUGACGCUCAUGCAUGAAAGCGUGGGGAGCAAACAGGAUUAGAUACCCUGGUAGUCCACGCCCUAAACGAUGUCAACUAGCUGUUGGGGCCUUCGGGCCUUGGUAGCGCAGCUAACGCGUGAAGUUGACCGCCUGGGGAGUACGGUCGCAAGAUUAAAACUCAAAUGAAUUGAC